This 247-nucleotide ribosomal RNA is filed under the name uncultured crenarchaeote. RNAcentral describes it as "partial 16S ribosomal RNA". It matches the Rfam family "Archaeal small subunit ribosomal RNA", at positions 478 to 725 of the family's 1478-position model. Lineage: Archaea; Thermoproteati; Thermoproteota. The record is from RNAcentral.
AGCUCUCCGAGUGGUGUGGAUGUUUAUUGGGCCUAAAGCAUCCGUAGCUGGCUAAGUUAGUCCCUUGUUAAAUCCACCGAAUUAAUCGUUGGAUUGCGGGGGAUACUGCUUGGCUAGGGGACGAGAGAGGCAGACGGUAUUUCCGGGGUAGGGGUGAAAUCCUAUAAUCCCAGGAAGACCACCAGUGGCGAAGGCUGUCUGCUAGAACGCGCCCGACGGUGAGGGAUGAAAGCUGGGGGAGCGAACC